RNAcentral lists this transfer RNA (70 nucleotides) under Dipodomys ordii (Ord's kangaroo rat). It matches the Rfam family "tRNA". From Rfam's summary of the family: Transfer RNA (tRNA) molecules are approximately 80 nucleotides in length. The record is from Rfam by way of RNAcentral. Lineage: Eukaryota; Metazoa; Chordata; Mammalia; Rodentia; Heteromyidae.
GGGAAUAUGGCUUAGUGGUAGAGUGCUUGCCUAACAUGCAUGAAUCCCUGGGUUCGAUUCCUUAGUACCA